Molecule: unclassified non-coding RNA, 236 nt
Filed under: Apodus deciduus
Lineage: Eukaryota; Fungi; Ascomycota; Sordariomycetes; Sordariales; Lasiosphaeriaceae
Description: partial internal transcribed spacer region
Rfam family: Eukaryotic small subunit ribosomal RNA (bases 1-46)
Source: RNAcentral
AAGUCGUAACAAGGUCUCCGUUGGUGAACCAGCGGAGGGAUCAUUACAGAGUUGCAAAACUCCCAACCCUUUGUGAACGAACCUACUAGUUGCUUCGGCGGCAGACCCCUCUGGGGCCUAGCCUUUACGGGUACCCCGCCGGAGGAAAACCAAAACUCUUGUUUUUACUACCGGCCUCUCUGAGUAUACUUACUUAAAAUAAGUCAAAACUUUCAACAACGGAUCUCUUGGUUCUG